UACGUAGGGUGCGAGCGUUGUCCGGAAUUAUUGGGCGUAAAGGGCUCGUAGGCGGUUUGUCGCGUCGGGAGUGAAAACCUUGGGCUUAACUCAGGGCUUGCUUUCGAUACGGGCAGACUAGAGGUAUGCAGGGGAGAACGGAAUUCCUGGUGUAGCGGUGAAAUGCGCAGAUAUCAGGAGGAACACCGGUGGCGAAGGCGGGUCUCUGGGCCGACACUGACGCUGAGGAGCGAAAGCGUGGGGAGCGAACAGG
RNAcentral lists this ribosomal RNA (253 nucleotides) under uncultured bacterium. RNAcentral's name for it is "partial 16S ribosomal RNA". It matches the Rfam family "Bacterial small subunit ribosomal RNA", at positions 524 to 776 of the family's 1533-position model. The record is from RNAcentral.